This is a non-coding RNA of Chiloscyllium plagiosum (whitespotted bambooshark), 833 nucleotides long. The record is from RefSeq and is a predicted model, not a curated record. NCBI's taxonomy places the organism in Eukaryota, Metazoa, Chordata, Chondrichthyes, Orectolobiformes, Hemiscylliidae.
GCAUCAAGUUGCUUCGGGGACCAGUUGCAGCAGAGUCACUGACAAUAUGCUUCUAAACGUGUGAAUCUUGGCGUCCCAGUCAAGACUUCAUUGCUAUCUCCUCACCAGACUAUUUGUUCAUCAUCAUCUGGCAUCUAGCCCAUGCAGAGUGAGACAAGCCAAUGUGGUUUGUGUUCUGUCAAAGUCAACAAUCUAAUCGAAGAAUUUAGAGAGACAAACAUCUUGUUCCUUUUCAUCCAAAAUCUUCAAGUAAGGGCAGUGGUACAAAGGACUGAGUUUUUAGGCCGGGAUGAGGAUGAACAAUAAGACAAAUCGUUGCCUUCUUCGCAUCGGCUGCAGUUCUCCCAGUUUCCUGAUACCAUUCCACUUCAUAGAGUAAUUUAUCAUUUUUGAAGAGAAAAAUCACAUCCUGACAAUGAUGUCCCACAGAGGCAAAGUUCUGACCCCCUUUUGACAUUGAGGUACCGAAGAGUCCAUGAUCAGAUGCACAGCUUUAAAUAUAAAUGGUACUGACCAGCCAAAACUGGGGCUAUUCUGAAGUGACACAAACACAUUGGCUUGACACCAUUUAUGGAUCCACAAAUAUUUAAUUUGGACUGGUUCAGGCAAGAAACCUUUCAGCUCUACGACACUGAAGAACAAUCCACACCUGGGAUAUCAUAUGAUUUUUCACAUGUAUGUUAUCAGUUUUGCAAAUAUUUAAACAAGCCUGUGAAACUACAGAGGGGAAGGUAAAAAAGCUGUGAGACAUUUUGUGCAGCCAUCUUUCUCUUGAGAAUGAAUAUGAAUUGUCAACAGCAUUUUAUUUAAAAAGAAUUGUUCAUUAUACUGAA